Molecule: ribosomal RNA, 31 nt
Filed under: Aspergillus terreus
Lineage: Eukaryota; Fungi; Ascomycota; Eurotiomycetes; Eurotiales; Aspergillaceae
Also listed under: 2 other names
Description: partial 18S ribosomal RNA
Source: RNAcentral
UUCCGUAGGGUGAACCUGCGGAAGGAUCAUU